Molecule: long non-coding RNA, 271 nt
Organism: Erinaceus europaeus (western European hedgehog)
Lineage: Eukaryota; Metazoa; Chordata; Mammalia; Eulipotyphla; Erinaceidae
Exons: 2
Source: RefSeq, a predicted model, not a curated record
CCACAGCCGCCAGCAUGAAAGGAAGCAGAGUGCAGAAAUAUGAAGAUCUUAUACUGUUACAAAACACCCUGCAUUGUAUUUCCAAAUUCAUCCACUGCAUUCAGUUUUCUUUGACUGGAAAUAUUGAUCUCAUCAAGAGCAACCACAGAGCAAACUGUAGGCCUGGCAGAAGGCUUCCUCGUCACUGGGAUGUUCUGGAGAGGAAGGUGUUAUUUCAUAGAUCAUUUUGGUUGAAUUUGAAACUGCUACAAAAUAAAGUCCAUGAAGCAAA